RNAcentral lists this ribosomal RNA (468 nucleotides) under uncultured bacterium. RNAcentral describes it as "partial 16S ribosomal RNA". It matches the Rfam family "Bacterial small subunit ribosomal RNA", at positions 28 to 507 of the family's 1533-position model. The record is from RNAcentral.
GAUGAACGCUGGCGGCGUGCCUAACACAUGCAAGUCGAACGGAAAGACCCUGCUCUUGUUGGGUGCACGAGUGGCGCACGGGUGUGUAACACGCGAGUAACCUCUCCUUGACUUUCUGAUAACAUCAGGAAACAGGGGCUAUUAUAGGAUAGAAGCUAUUGCUGCACGGUGGUGGUUGGAAAGAUUCGGCGGUUGGGGAUCGACUCGAGGGUUAUCAGCUUGAUGGUGUGGUAGUGGAUUUCCAAGCCUUUGAAGGGUAGCCGGCCUGGGAGGGGGAACGGCCACAAUAGGACUGAGAUACGGCGCAGACUCCAACGGGCGGCAGCAGGGGGGAAUAUUGCGCAACGGGGGGAAGCGUGAUGCAGCGACGCCGCGUUCGGGAUGACGGCCUUCGGGUGGUAAACCGCUGUCGCCUGUGACGAGGCGUGAUUGACGGUAAUGGGUAAAGAAGCACCGGCUAACUACGUG